AUUUUUUGCCCUAAGGCAAUGAGGUUAUCCUGAUGCUGAGGAAUCUAUGGCAAAUUUUCCUUUCUCCCUCAAACUAUCCUGUCAACCUUUUCAUAUUAGAAGGCAGAGAAUGGAAAAUACACAUAUACAUUCUCCUUUAAAAAAAAAAAAAUACAAGGAGCCUUGAGAAAUGGACAUGAUCCGUGUAUUUCUUGACCUCUGAGAUACCAUGGCUAAUCCCAACCAACGUGCAGAAAUACUGCUUCUGGAAGUUCCAUUUGCCUCCAUUCUGAGUGCUUAUUAACCCUGAAACUUUUGUCAGCUCAGGAAAAAGCAAAAGGUUCUAAACUAACUGGCUGCACAGUGGCACACCCUUGUUCACCUCCUCACUGGGCUCCUGGGCCUCCAACUUCUGCCCUUCAGGUUCUAGAUGGAAUCUCGCUCUUGUCUGCCAGGCUGGAGUACAAUGGCGCGACCUUGGCUCACUGCAACCUCCACCUCCUGGGUUCGAGUGAUUCUCCUGCCUCAGCCUCCUGAGUAGCUGGGAUUACAGGCGCCCACCACCAUGCUCGGCUAAUUUUUGUGUUUUUAGUAGAGAUGGGGUUUCACCAUGUUGGCCAGGCUGGUCUUGAACUCCUGACCUCAGGUGAUCUGCCCACAUCAGCCUCCUUAAAAAUAAAAUUCUAAGGCCCCCGACCAUCUGAAUGGACCCCUCCUCUCAGCCAAGGGCAUUCCAAAGUUAACCUGGAAAAUUAGUUCAGGCCACAAUGGGAACAGGAGUUGUACAUGCCCCAUUAUACCCUCCUCCCUGUGGAAUUCAGGCACAACUGACCAGCAUUAACAUCAAAAAAGAGAUCUUAAGACUGUAGCAAUAAGACACCAAAUUCCAGCCUGACUCUAAUAUAGCAUCACAUGACAACAGGCCCUGAAGAAAUCAAAAUACUCUAUUCUUUUACUCACAUAUUUUGAAAUGGCCCUGCAAAACUAUCUCUUGUGGGGGAAAUCUACAUUCAGUAGAGAAUCCCUUUCCCUUUCCACAUCUUUUCCCUGAUCCAGGAGAGAAUUAACUAAGAGUCUGGCACCUUUUAAGUCUGAUAAGAAACAUUUACUAUCUACUCUUUCUGAAGCCUGCUACCUGGAGACUUCAUCUGCAUAAUAAGAACCUUGGUCUCCAUAACCCCUUAUCUUAACUCAGAUAGUCCCUUCUAUGGAUUCCAUACUUUUAGAUAAACUCUUUUAAUCAAUUGCCCUGGGAAAAUCUUUGAAUGCACCUGUGACCUGAAAGUUCUCCUCCCCACACCUCUUCGAGUUGUCCUGCCUUUCCAGACCUGACCAAUGUACAUCUUAGAUAUUAAUUGAUGUCUUAUUUCUCCCUAACAUAUAUAAAACCAAGCUGUAGCCUGACCACCUUGGGCACAUGUCGUCAGGACCUCCUGAGGCAUGUCCUUAUUCUCGGCAAAAUAC
This 1443-nucleotide long non-coding RNA is filed under the name Pan troglodytes (chimpanzee). RNAcentral describes it as "lincRNA". The record is from RNAcentral. Lineage: Eukaryota; Metazoa; Chordata; Mammalia; Primates; Hominidae.